This 89-nucleotide non-coding RNA is filed under the name uncultured Pseudomonas sp. RNAcentral's name for it is "ivy-DE RNA". It matches the Rfam family "ivy-DE RNA". The record is from RNAcentral. Lineage: Bacteria; Pseudomonadati; Pseudomonadota; Gammaproteobacteria; Pseudomonadales; Pseudomonadaceae.
ACCAUGGGAUCGGGAUGUUCUGACGAGCUAUGUCGGAGCGACCUAGGGGUACAGGGGGUACCUCCGCAAUUGCGGAUCAGGUUCGGUGA